Molecule: ribosomal RNA, 468 nt
Filed under: uncultured bacterium
Lineage: Bacteria
Description: partial 16S ribosomal RNA
Rfam family: Bacterial small subunit ribosomal RNA
Source: RNAcentral
GACGAACGCUGGCGGCGUGCUUAACACAUGCAAGUCGAACGGAAAGGCCCGGCUUUUGUGGGGUGCUCGAGUGGCGAACGGGUGAGUAACACGUGAGUAACCUGCCCUUGACUUUGGGAUAACUUCAGGAAACUGGGGCUAAUACCGGAUAUGAGCUCCUGCUGCAUGGUGUGGGUUGGAAAGUUUCGGCGGUUGGGGAUGGACUCGCGGCUUAUCAGCUUGUUGGUGGGGUAGUGGCUUACCAAGGCUUUGACGGGUAGCCGGCCUGAGAGGGUGACCGGCCACAUUGGGACUGAGAUACCGCCCAGACUCCUACGGGAGGCAGCAGUGGGGAAUAUUGCACAAUGGGCGGAAGCCUGAUGCAGCAACGCCGCGUGCGGGAUGACGGCCUUCGGGUUGUAAACCGCUUUCGCCUGUGACGAAGCGUGAGUGACGGUAAUGGGUAAAGAAGCACCGGCUAACUACGUG